GACGGAGGAUGCAAGCGUUAUCCGGAAUGAUUGGGCGUAAAGCGUCCGCAGGUGGCAGUUCAAGUCUGCUGUCAAAGACCGGGGCUUAACUUCGGAAAGGCAGUGGAAACUGAACAGCUAGAGUAUGGUAGGGGCAGAGGGAAUUCCUGGUGUAGCGGUGAAAUGCGUAGAUAUCAGGAGGAACACCGAUUGCGAAGGCAGCUCGCUGGGACGUAACUGACGCUGAGACGCGAAAGCGUGGGGAGCAAACAGG
RNAcentral lists this ribosomal RNA (253 nucleotides) under uncultured bacterium. RNAcentral's name for it is "partial 16S ribosomal RNA". It matches the Rfam family "Bacterial small subunit ribosomal RNA", at positions 524 to 776 of the family's 1533-position model. The record is from RNAcentral.